AACGAACGCUGGCGGCAUGCCUAACACAUGCAAGUCGAACGAGACCUUCGGGUCUAGUGGCGCACGGGUGCGUAACGCGUGGGAACCUGCCCUUAGGUUCGGAAUAACUCCCCGAAAGGGGUGCUAAUACCGGAUAAUGUCUUCGGACCAAAGAUUUAUCGCCUUUGGAUGGGCCCGCGUUGGAUUAGUUAGUUGGUAGGGUAAAAGCCUACCAAGGCGACGAUCCAUAGCUGGUCUGAGAGGAUGAUCAGCCACACUGGGACUGAGACACGGCCCAGACUCCUACGGGAGGCAGCAGUGGGGAAUAUUGGACAAUGGGCGAAAGCCUGAUCCAGCAAUGCCGCGUGAGUGAUGAAGGCCUUAGGGUUGUAAAGCUCUUUUACCCGGGAUGAUAAUGACAGUACCGGGAGAAUAAGCUCCGGCUAACUCCGU
Molecule: ribosomal RNA, 432 nt
Filed under: uncultured bacterium
Lineage: Bacteria
Description: partial 16S ribosomal RNA
Rfam family: Bacterial small subunit ribosomal RNA
Source: RNAcentral